This 270-nucleotide unclassified non-coding RNA is filed under the name Hevea brasiliensis (rubber tree). Lineage: Eukaryota; Viridiplantae; Streptophyta; Magnoliopsida; Malpighiales; Euphorbiaceae. The record is from RNAcentral.
GACAAUCCCAACAGUUUAGCAGGUCAGUGCUUUCCCCAUGUGCACCUUUUUCCUUGUUUAACUAUUGUCUGUGGCUUCCCUUUUCCCUGUUAAUUAAGAAUACAGCAUAUUUAUAAUUUCAAGGAUGAUGAACUUAUUGGAACUUGUUCAAAGCAUGUACAUGAGAUGCUUCUUUUUUUCCCCCAGUUUUCAAGAGUUACCAUGUUUUUUUAGUUGAGUUUGCGUUAGUAAGUUGGGUUGUCUCAGCAGUGAUCUAAUGAGAACCUUGCA